UUUUCUUUCCUCACGCCGAACCAUUUCCUUCCCUUCCGAUUUCCCCUGCGACGCCGAAGCCCUAACCGCCGGCCACUCAGCGGUUCCCUCCUCCUCUCCCAGGCGUGAAUAAGCCCCGGACCAAGGGAAGUCGGCACUUCCUUUCUCCCUCUCCGCAGCCGACUGACCUCCUUCGUGCCCUCGCCGUCGGUGACGCACGGAGCCGUGCCUUUCUCCCUUCUGCCCUAGCCGAAUUCCUUCCAUCGUCGGCAGCCGAGUUUCUCUCAUCAGCCGUCGAACUUGCGUGCCCUAGGUGCCACCGACGCCGACGCCCUCUCCGAUCUCCACUGUGCUGCCAGCGAGCUCCUCUCUGCCCUAGCGCCGGCCCACCGCCGAGCCUAGCAUCCUCUCCCGCCACCACAGCGACGCCACUGCUGCCGCUCGAUCUCUUCUCCCCUCUGCCGGUCGGUCUCUCCUUCUCCUCCUUCCCGAGCCGCACCAGGCGCCGCCACCACCUGAGGCUGAACGGAGCAGCGCCUGACCUAGGGUUUCCGGCAGUGGGCUGAUACAUGAUUUUUCCAGCCAUUGCUGGUUGCUACCAUCGCCAGAGAAGAAGGUCAGUGACAGUGGUGUGAAGUUGUUGGAUUCCGGCCACCACAACACUGAAUGCCUUGGUUGUUUCCUUGAUAUCCAACUUUGAUCCGAUCAGUGAAAGGACUUUGACGCGAGACGGGUAUCUCGGAGUCAGAUUUGGACUUUUCUUAUCGGAGG
This is a long non-coding RNA of Zingiber officinale, 750 nucleotides long. RefSeq lists it as uncharacterized. The record is from RefSeq and is a predicted model, not a curated record. The transcript has 3 exons. Lineage: Eukaryota; Viridiplantae; Streptophyta; Magnoliopsida; Zingiberales; Zingiberaceae.